Molecule: long non-coding RNA, 1793 nt
Filed under: Malus domestica (apple)
Lineage: Eukaryota; Viridiplantae; Streptophyta; Magnoliopsida; Rosales; Rosaceae
Description: long non-coding RNA (MDOM_LNC008240)
Source: RNAcentral
CUUAAGUAUAGAAUGGAUUCUGAUAGGAAGCCUCAAGGCCUAUACCUAAGGCCCCACAAAGGCACUUAUUUGGAUUUAUUCUAUUCUGCGGUCUAGAUGGUUUGAGUAUAAGAACGGAUUCUAAUGGGAAGCCUCAAGGCCUACACCUAAGGCCCCAGAAAGGCACCUAUUUGGGUUCGCUCUACCUCUCAGGCUCGGAUAAUCAGAAAUAUAAUAGUUAUAAGACCCCGACAACCAUAAAGACCAAAUAAAUAUGCUCAAGCACUGGUUUAGUUUGACAGGAAGCCUCAAGGCCUAUACCUAAGGCCCCACAAAGGCACCUGUUAUAUCUAACACGGUUUCUCGGGCAUAUGCAUAUUCACAACUAAAACUUGACAUCUAUUCGACAUCUGCCAUAAUGAAGAUGGCAGUGGCACGCCUGAGCACCAAAAUGUUAACCUUGAUUGUGAGCCUCAAGGCCUACACCUAAGGCCCCACAAAGGCACCCUCUCAAAGUUAACGCUGUCCUUCUCUUUCAGCCUUGCCCGAAGAGUUUCGCCCGACGAGUCUUGCCCGACGAGACUUGCCCGACAAAGCCCGACAGGAAAGCAGAAGCCCGACAGUAGUCCUCAACCGACGCCGAACCUCCAGGGGAGCUGUGUGCUCGUCGGCCAGGAAACACCCCCGACGGGAAUUCCUGCCCCGAACAGGAAUACUUGUGAUGGAGGAUGGAAUUGUAAUGAUCUUAAUGGGUCUGGUUUAUGCAGGCCUAGCUAGAUUCAUCAAUCUAUAAAAUUUUGUCUCUAACUCGCCAAUUUCUUGCACAAUGAUUGCCUGUGAAGAAACCCAUGGGGAAGUUUAUUUUAUUCUCAUAUGCUACUUUCAUCCACUUUAUCUGGCUCAUUGUGUGUUUUAGUUCCAAGAAAAAUAAUAAGGAGACUCUCUCAAAAGGGGGAUUUUACGUGAAAUAGCAGAGAGUCCAUGGAUAGUUCCAUUGUUUAGAGAGUCCCCUAAGCAUUUAUCUAGUUCAAAUCUAUAGUUCUUGCCGUAAAUAUUGAAAAUAAGAAGAAGAAAAAACUCAUUUCGUGUUUUUGUUUUGUGAAUGAUGUGCUCUCUUCUCAAAUACAGUACUUUUAGAGACGUCAAAUAGUUUGAUACUCAUUGUGUGUUUUAGUUUAAAGAGAAAUGAUAAGGAGACUCUCACAAAAGUGAGAUUUUAUAUGAAGUGACGGAAAAUCCAUGGAUAGUUCCAUUGGUUAGUGAGUCCCCUUAGCAUUUAUCUAGUUCAAAUCUAUUGUUCUUUGCCGUAAAUAUUGAAAAUAAGAAAGAAAAAAAUAACUCAUUAAUUCUGUGUUUUUUUAUUGGUAAAUGAUGUGCUCUCUUCUCAAAUGUCGAAAUAUUCCAUUUGUUUAUGCUUGGUUUUAGGCAAAUAGAUCCGAAAUAAUCAAUUUUGGCCUAGACCGGUUUGUUUCUUGAGUUUUGCCACUUACAAACUAAACCUCAAACUGCUUACGUAAUAUUAAUUUUUAUUCUACAUAUUCUUUUUCUUUUUUGAAAUCCUACACAAAUAGAAGAAACUAGCUUAGUUACACUUAAGUGUGAAUGCAAAUUUCCGCCAUCUUCUUCUUGGACGAAAAUGCACCUGCAAAACAAUUAACAUCUUAGGUCAAGGCCAAGAGCCUCAUGCGCCCACGAUGAAUUGGGGUAGGGGGGGCUUGGUCGAAGAACUUCUGAUGCCAAAGUUUGAAUUUGAGGGAAAAGUGCUUAGAGAAAUUUGGAGAAUUUUGUAAAAGAGUGGAAUUUGACUUUUGGGA